GGAGGAGUGUGGAAAGGGAGGAAAUAAUUUCAGACCAAAUAAAAACAGCAUAAAUAUCACUCUAAGGGAAACAUGUCUGAGUGCUCCUCCCCCUGGCUGUGGUGAAGUCUAACUAUUUUUUAAAUGGAAAGUGAAAGAUUUGAAACUUUAGAACGUGUUGGGCUGUACAGCUAUAACUACUCAAGAAGUUUGAUUUGGAUUUGGCAAAAUCUCUGUGGCUCUGAAACUGCUGUUUGCAGUGAAUAAAUGAUUGAAUGGGAAAAAAUGUGAACCCGAGGAAGACUUUAACAUUUGGGCUCCAGGACAGGUUUGUUCUACCCCAGGGCAAGUCACCCCAACCAGGUCCUGACAUGUAUUUGCUUCUUCUGGAAAAGUAGUUAUUUGGAGAUACCAGGCACAGUGUCUCUGUAUUAAUUCUACAAUUGCAUCACUGGAUAAAGAUAUGAAUUAAUAUAGAGUGAAUUAAUAAUUAGAAUGCAGGUGAAUUAAUAUAGAAGCCCAACUCUACAGAGCAGAGCCCAGUACUUUCUCCACUGGAGCAUCUGAAGGCAAAAUCUGAUGCUGUUUGCAUGUAAACAAGCACCCUUCUUUCCUUCCCAAAAAUGUAGAAUUUCCUGUGCAAUGAUGAAAAUCAAUAUUUUCCUCUGCAGUAUCCCAUCUGCUUUCAAUUUUCUAGAAGCAAGGAGGGAUGCAGAGUAUUCGAUCUGCUCUCCUCUGUAACCUUGCUUUGCACUGCUGCAGGCUGGUGCUGGAGAAGCCUCUCCCCCACAGGGAUGUGGAUGGAUGGAUGUGUGCCUCUUCUGCAGCAGCCAGCUCUGAGUGCUCUGCAGCUCAUCACAGCACUGGUGCUGUGGACAGUCGCCUGAGCUGCCUUUCUGCCAUCAAUCUCCCUCCUUCCCUCUCCUUUCCCUGUGCUAUAGAGUGCUCACUUGCCUCACUGGACGCAUCCCUUCCAUGGCAUGCUGUGACUGUGGCUGCUGGCACGGAGGGAGUGGUAGGUUGGUUUUAUAUCAUGGUUUUGCAGUGAAUGCAAGUGAUUAAAAUAAGAGAAAAAAAGCUAAACAAAAGGCUGUGUCUGCUGCUGAAGCUGUUCCACAGAGCAAGUGCAUCUGCUUUUUCUCACCUCUGAAGCAAAUCAAUAUGGCUUUAAAUGAUUAUCCCCGAUGCCUAGAUCUCUUACAUCACGCUGCUGUUAUCCCAGACACACUACUGCCUGGUCAUUCCUACCUUUUCCAUUCAGUCUCUCUCCCUUGGCUGCUUCUCUUUGCCUUCUUCCAAACACACACACAAAAUGCUCACUGGAGCAGCUCAGCUUUGCUCAGGCAUUGUUUCCUUCUGCAGACAAACCUGCAUUGCCCCUCUCUCACAGCCACACACACACUCACCGCAGUGCCUCUGCUCGCUGCCUGCCGGUACCUCCAUCUCUCGUGCAUAAGCACACACUGCCUGGCUGAGUGCUGCCUGAGCAGCAUCUGCUUAUCAGGAGCUUUUCUCCUGAUGCUGCAGUUAGUGGGGAAGGGCUCGUGUUUCUCUGCACCUCUGUCUGCUAAAGAUAUUCAAACUAAAAUAAGAAAAACAUUUUGAGAAUGAAAUAAUCUUCUCAGCUCCAAUCUUCUCCUUCUCACAUACACCCCAUCCCCACUGGGACAGGGAUGCUUGAGUGAAAACCUGUCACCAGUGCUAAAAAUAAAAGACCUCCAUGCAGAUAAACCCAUGCUUUGGGGACUGCCCCAUUUUUCUAGAUCCUGCCUAAUCUUGUAUUUGGAUUUUUCAGAACACAAGGUGUUUCCUGGUGGUAUAAAAAGCCCUCAGAAAUGCUUAUGCAUCAUCUGGGUACACUGACGUGUGUAUGAGCAAUGAGCACAGAGAAUCCAGCCCUCCAUCAGCACAGGAGUGCCCUUAACGCCCUUAUCCCUUCAGUGGCGCACAGAAACAAAUUAGCUGCUUGUUCCAUGCAGGACUUCAGCUUACAAAUCUAAACGCUUUUGCCAGCAUAAUCACUCUGUUUCUUAUUUAUUUAUUUUACCGUGUAUUUUUUCCUCACUAAUUUUUGCAUGUUGUUAUGCCUUUUUGUGCCUAGUCACCCACUUACAGCACCUAGGAGAUCAUUAUUUGCUUCUGAUUAGCACAGUGCUUUGGAGUGGCGUGCUGGAGGCAAAAAAAAUUAGAAUGUAUCAAAAUGCAAAUAUGCCCCCAUUGACCUCUGGAAAAUGUGUUCAAUUACAAAGUACUUUCAAAGAAAGCUAGAAAGGAAGAGGAGAGAGGCCAUGAGCUUGUAGAGGCCUACAAUAUUAAAAAAUAAUAGCAAAUUGCUGCUUAGAAGCUUACAUUGUGAGCAGUGCAAAAAGGUUUUUUUCCUUUAAAGUAGGAGUGAAGGGCCAAGGCUAUAAUACUCCAGCCCAUUUUCUGUAUCACUUUGCUUACUUUGCUAGAACUGCUGAAGUGAAUGGGGUUGCUUGUAGUGUAUAUUUUCCAAUCAUCUGCCAAGAUUCAAAUAUGUAGUCCGAUAUAUGGCAGUCACCCAGAAUGAGAGACACAGAAAUUAUUCACGAUCCUUCUUCCAAUGUGAAAGACUCCUUCUGUAACCUCAGCUUUAUGACACUGCAUUCAAGAAGUAAAUGUUUUUCUCCAAGAAAAGUGAGAGGAGGCCAAAUUUUCUUGGAGAAAAUAACGAUAGCAUUAAGACAGGGAUAUCCCAGUAGUGAGAUAUGCCUGAGAAGUGCACUGAAGAAAAAGAUGCAGUGCUAUGGAAGUUAUUUGAGCUGCUACUUUUUUACUUCUACCAGUGAGAGUAAAUACAUUCUUAAACUAGAGAAGACUGCAGUUUAAUGUUGGGUAAUGCUGGGAAAAUAACAUAUCCUCCACCCAAAAGAUUGAACAGGCUGCCCAGGGAGUCACCAUCUCCAGAGGUUUUCAAGAUAAGGGUGGAUACUGCACUGAGUAACAUAGUCUAGGGUGGUCACAGGCAUGGGUUGAUGACUGAACUACAUGAUCUUAGACAUCUUUCCAACCAUAAUGGUUGUAUGAUUCUAUGAAUCUCAUGGUGUGGCCUCAUCUUUAUUCUCCACAAUGCUCUUCUGCAAAUAUUUGUUUCUCUGGAGACAUAAAUUCUCUCUAAUACUUUCAUAGAUCCAAAAAUGGUUGUGUCCCCUCUUAGCAAGAUAAACACUUCAAAAUAACUUAUCUUAUCCAAGCAAGAGUUUGCAUGAACGUUUGAUACUAGUUUAGUGUUCACAUUAGCACUACUGCUGCAACGAGGGAAGUCUCAGAGGCAUUCUUAGAGCAGUGCUCUCACUGUGUUCAGUGUCUGUGAAUGGAAAGAAGCCACAAGGAGAAGCACUAUGGCCUCUGACUGCACCCAGCUGCACGUGGCUUCACCAUUUGGGCCUGGCUUUGCCUGAAUCCAUCAUGAGGUCACCAAGUAGGACUGCAAGAAGAUUUUGUUGAACCUGAACUUCUCAAUAGUGGAAAAAGCUCCUCCCCACUGGAUCACAGACGUACAAAAGCAGAGUGGUUUUAUUGCCUUAUCUCCUCAACAGGCAGACAUUCUUUCUCCUACAGAUCUCCAUCAUGGUAUGUUUUAACUUAGUACAAAAGAAGAUCAUCUGAGGAGUAAGGUGCCUGAUGGGGAAGAAGAGAUGCUUGUGUCCAGUUUCCAUGAUCCUGCUGACACUGGAGAUACCUGCUGUACAGGCUUUUUUACCUCACCUUGUUUGGUAUGUCCAAGCUCCCCAUUCCAUGACAGAGCCAAGCAGCUUCAGCCAGGCAUGAGGACCUUCAUACAUGAAAAGCAGUGAAGAGCCAUAUCCCUAAAGCAUGCAACUCUUGUAUAUGACAAAAGAUAAUGGGUGGAUACCAAGAAUUGAAGGUAACAGAAAGAAAGAGAGGACAUAUUUCCACAGCUUGGCAAAAGCAGUCUCCAAAGUCCUCAAACAGCUGUGGAAAAAUAGUGAAAGGAGAGCAAAUAGCCUGUUUGUCCUCUAUCUCAUGGACACAGUGCCUUGUGAGCCCUGGAGGGUAUCUGCUCAUAUCCAAGCUGUGAAAGCAGUUGCUGUGCCUGCCACAUCACAGCUUCAUAGACACACCAAUGCUUGCAGUACAGUCAAAAUAUGCUUUAAAGCCCAUUUCAGCAGCAAGCUCUCUGGAUUCUGUGCCAGGAAAUGUUAAUUACUGUGGUGCAGUGUUCUGUUUUCUGUGGUGCAAUAACAAUUAAUUUACACCAUUUGGAAAAACACUUUUUUAUUAAAAAUCAAUAGAAGCAAAUCAAUGCAAUGUAAAGCAUACAAUACCAAAAUGAAAAGCUCUUGUUUUUAUACUUGGGCAUCCUUAAUAAAAUUGCACUGUAGAUUCAGGCAGUUUGUCUAUUGUAAUCUAAUGAGAAGCUGUCAAGCUUCUUUUAAGCGUUCUGGAAAUUACCAUGUAUUGGGGCAGCCAUUUUUAGUCAAAGAAUUCAAUAAUUAACCCCCAAGUUGUAAGUCAAUAUGAUGAUGGUGCAGGUGCCGCUGCAUUUGUCUCUCUGCACUGCAUCACCUAUGCACCUGACAAUCUGUGGGACCCAUUUUGAAUCGAGAUGGAGGUUAAUUUUUAUUUAUAGUUAUAAUUAGAAAAACACUAGCUGUAAUGAAAACUGCUCCACCGCUGGAACAUAUCACCACAGAGUAAAUUCCACAGCAAUUUUUGCAUUUUAAUAGGUCAGAGAGUAACACAAAUGAAUUGCUUCUUCCUGGGGGAACUUGUUUAUUCUUUGGAAUUUAAUGAUUUACUGGAACACUGAUCUCAAAGAAAAAAAUCCCACAGUUGUUUUUCUACCAUUGCCUCAACUGCACAAGGUGCUGCAGACCCUGGGAAGGCAGCUCACACCUGUAAUUGUACAGCUCCUGAGGCUCCCCUGCACAAGGUACUGGGGCCUACCUGCCAGCUCCUCAGCACCCUGCUGCACAUGGCACAGGAGCUCAGGGACUUCUCCAGGAUGAUACAGCUCCACCACAGAAGUGCUCCCUCAGCCCACAGCAGGAUGCAUCCAGCUGCUACAGUAAGGAAUGCUUUACCCUUUAGGCACAAGCUGCUGUUCCCCUCCCCAUGGUCCACCGCCAUGGUCUGCACAUUUAUGAGUGCAGCCACAACUACAGCUGGUCUUCUCUGACUCAACCAGAGCAGGAAGAAGCAGGACAAUUUUAAUCCAAUGGAAGCACUCAUGGAAGCAGCCAAGGACAUAUCACUCUGGAAGGGCAGAUCAUCAUUUCCUUUCUCCAGACAGGACUACUAUGGGUUUGAGUUUGACUAUUUUAACGGUGAAUUGAUUUUUUGUGUGAAGUGAUCUAGGUAUGACAGUAGAUUUUUCAAAGUCAUUCGGUAGCUCAUGACAGUGGGCUGGGAGGACAGGUGUCAUCAAAUAAAAAGGUAUGAAGUGGACUAAUUUAAAAGGAACGCAGAGGUUGUACAGAACUGCCAGAAACUCCAUCGCUUUGGUACAGCGAUGCAAGGAAAAUAGAAACAGUAACAAAAGAAGACUUUGAAAUUCAAAGUUUUACAAAACAGGAUAUUUGAUUUGGAUUGUAUCUAGAAAUUGCAAAAGCUUGGCAAAGCAUCACUGAGGUACUGCAAAAUAUUUGUAAUCUGCAUAAUCUUUAUAUGCCACAGUCUUUCCCUCUACUGUGGGAGCUGUGAUGUAACCAUGAAUUUGUUAUUGGGGUGGCUGACACUAAUGUUCUUACAUAUUAAAAAAA
This 5726-nucleotide long non-coding RNA is filed under the name Gallus gallus (chicken). RNAcentral describes it as "lncRNA (ENSGALG00010023649.1)". Lineage: Eukaryota; Metazoa; Chordata; Aves; Galliformes; Phasianidae. The record is from RNAcentral.